Molecule: ribosomal RNA, 253 nt
Filed under: uncultured bacterium
Lineage: Bacteria
Description: partial 16S ribosomal RNA
Rfam family: Bacterial small subunit ribosomal RNA
Source: RNAcentral
UACGGAGGAUGCAAGCGUUAUCCGGAAUGAUUGGGCGUAAAGCAUCCGCAGGUGGCUAUGUAAGUCUGCUGUUAAAGAGUGAGGCUCAACCUCAUAAGAGCAGUGGAAACUACAUGGCUAGAGUGCGUUCGGGGCAGAGGGAAUUCCUGGUGUAGCGGUGAAAUGCGUAGAGAUCAGGAAGAACACCGGUGGCGAAAGCGCUCUGCUAGGCCGCAACUGACACUCAUGGACGAAAGCUAGGGGAGCGAAUGGG